GGUUGGCGGCGUGGAUGUCGGCGUCGCAGGAGGCGCAGAGGGAGGCGGCGUCGGCCUUGCAGAGGAACGCCGCCGGGGCGCGCUCGCACGCCUCGCACACCCACACGCGCUCGUGCCACGUGAGAGAGACGUGGAGGCGAGUGUCGCACGUGGCGCAGAGAAAGGCGGUGUGGGAGCGGCAGAAGACGGUGGAGGGGACGGAGCGGCACGUGUCGCACAUGCGCGGCCACGUGGGCGUUGUUGCUUGGCCCUCCAACAUUGGGGGAGUUAGUGUUCUGAGAGUGAAGAGAAG
Molecule: long non-coding RNA, 292 nt
Filed under: Glycine max (soybean)
Lineage: Eukaryota; Viridiplantae; Streptophyta; Magnoliopsida; Fabales; Fabaceae
Description: long non-coding RNA (GMAX_LNC004245)
Source: RNAcentral